AAUGAACGCUGGCGGCGUGCUUUACACAUGCAAGUCGAGCGAGGCGGGUAGCAAUACCCAGUCGAGCGGCGAACGGGUGAGUAACGCGUGGAUAACCUGCCCAGAGGUGGGGGAUAACCCGGGGAAACUCGGGCUAAUACCGCAUAUGACCGUGAGGUCAAAGGGGGCUCGCAAGAGCUCUCGCCAUUGGAGGGGUCCGCGUACGAUUAGCUAGUUGGUAGGGUAAUGGCCUACCAAGGCGACGAUCGUUAGCCGGCCUGAGAGGGUGAUCGGCCACACUGGAACUGAGACACGGUCCAGACUCCUACGGGAGGCAGCAGUGGGGAAUUUUGCGCAAUGGGCUAACGCCUGACGCAGCAACGCCGCGUGGAGGAUGAAGGUCUUUGGAUUGUAAACUCCUGUCAGCAGGGAAAAAGCGACCUGACCUCAUACGUCAGGGAGUUGAUUGUACCUGCAGAGGAAGCCCCGGCUAACUCUGUGCC
Molecule: ribosomal RNA, 482 nt
Filed under: uncultured bacterium
Lineage: Bacteria
Description: bacterial SSU rRNA
Rfam family: Bacterial small subunit ribosomal RNA
Source: RNAcentral